This 72-nucleotide transfer RNA is filed under the name Glypthelmins quieta. RNAcentral's name for it is "tRNA-Pro". Lineage: Eukaryota; Metazoa; Platyhelminthes; Trematoda; Plagiorchiida; Plagiorchiidae. The record is from RNAcentral.
UCAAGUGGGUAGUUUAAGCUAGAAUGUGAGUUUUGGGGACUCGAGGUCUUUGGUUGGCUAAAGCCUCUUGAG